UUAGUAAUCGGCGAUCAGCAUGCCGGUGACUACUUCCGGGCCUUGUACACACCGCCCGUCACACCAUGAGAGUUUGUAACACCCAAAGUCGGUGGGGUAACCUUUUAGGAACCAGCCGC
Molecule: ribosomal RNA, 119 nt
Filed under: Lactiplantibacillus plantarum
Lineage: Bacteria; Bacillati; Bacillota; Bacilli; Lactobacillales; Lactobacillaceae
Description: Lactobacillus plantarum partial 16S ribosomal RNA
Rfam family: Bacterial small subunit ribosomal RNA
Source: RNAcentral